Molecule: ribosomal RNA, 468 nt
Filed under: uncultured bacterium
Lineage: Bacteria
Description: partial 16S ribosomal RNA
Rfam family: Bacterial small subunit ribosomal RNA
Source: RNAcentral
GACGAACGCUGGCGGCGUGCUUAACACAUGCAAGUCGAACGGAAAGGCCCUGCUUUUGUGGGGUGCUCGAGUGGCGAACGGGUGAGUAACCCGUGAGUCACCUUCCCUUUACUUUGGGAUAACUUCAGGAAACUGGGGCUACUACCGGCUUGGUGCUCCUGCUGCAUGGUGGGGGUCGGAAAGUUUCGGCGGUUGGGGAUGGACUCGCGGCUUAUCAGCUUGUUGGUGGGGUAGUGGCUUACCCAGGCUUUGACGGGUAGCCGGCCUGAGAGGGUGACCGGCCACAUUGGGACUGAGAUACGGCCCAGACUCCUACGGGAGGCAGCAGUGGGGAAUAUUGCACAAUGGGCGGAAGCCUGAUGCAGCAACGCCGCGUGCGGGAUGACGGCCUUCGGGGUGUAAACCGCUUUCGCCUGUGACGAAGCGUGAGUGACGGUAAUGGGUAAAGAAGCACCGGCUAACUACGUG